CCUACGGGCGUCAGCAGUGGGGAAUAUUGCACAAUGGGGGAAACCCUGAUGCAGCGACGCCGCGUGAGCGAGGAAGUAUUUCGGUAUGUAAAGCUCUAUCAGCAGGGACGAAAAAAGACGGUACCUGACUAAGAAGCACCGGCUAACUACGUGCAAGCAGCUGCGGGAAUAAGUAGGGGGCAAGCGUUAUCCGGAUUUACUGGGGGUAAAGGGACCGUAGACGGGAAGGCAAGGCAGAAGUGAAAGGGCAGGGCUCAACCCUGGACUUGCUUUUGGAAAUGUGGUGCUAGAGUGCAGGAGAGGUAAGUGGAAUUCCUGGUGUAGCGGUGAAAUGCGUAGAUAUUAGGAGGAACACCAGUGGCGAAGGCGGCUUACUGGACUGUAACUGACGUUGAGGCUCGAAAGCGUGGGGAGCAAACAGGAUUAGAUACCCGAGUAGUC
RNAcentral lists this ribosomal RNA (441 nucleotides) under uncultured bacterium. RNAcentral describes it as "partial 16S ribosomal RNA". It matches the Rfam family "Bacterial small subunit ribosomal RNA", at positions 338 to 795 of the family's 1533-position model. The record is from RNAcentral.